Molecule: ribosomal RNA, 522 nt
Filed under: Ferrimonas sp. 4Bf4S77
Lineage: Bacteria; Pseudomonadati; Pseudomonadota; Gammaproteobacteria; Alteromonadales; Ferrimonadaceae
Description: bacterial SSU rRNA
Rfam family: Bacterial small subunit ribosomal RNA
Source: RNAcentral
AUGCGGCGAAAGCCUGAUGCAGCCAUGCCGCGUGUGUGAAGAAGGCCUUCGGGUUGUAAAGCACUUUCAGCGAGGAGGAAAGGUUAGCGGUUAAUACCCGCUAGCUGUGACGUUACUCGCAGAAGAAGCACCGGCUAACUCCGUGCCAGCAGCCGCGGUAAUACGGAGGGUGCGAGCGUUAAUCGGAAUUACUGGGCGUAAAGCGCAUGCAGGCGGCCAAGUCAGUCAGAUGUGAAAGCCCCGGGCUUAACCUGGGAAUUGCAUUUGAUACUGCUUGGCUAGAGUCCUUGAGAGGGGGGUAGAAUUUCAGGUGUAGCGGUGAAAUGCGUAGAGAUCUGAAGGAAUACCAGUGGCGAAGGCGGCCCCCUGGCAAGAGACUGACGCUCAGAUGCGAAAGCGUGGGGAGCAAACAGGAUUAGAUACCCUGGUAGUCCACGCCGUAAACGAUGUCUAUUAGGAGUCUGUGGCCUUGAGCUGUGGGUUCCAAAGCUAACGCAUUAAAUAGACCGCCUGGGGAGUACG